UAGCGAACAUCUCUCCUCUUCUCUUAGUGUGCACAGUUUGCUUACAUGCCGCCUUAGGCACAUCUCUCUUUCUUAGUUUCACGCUGGACUAAUGAUAAUGAAUGAAGGUCAGUCUUUUAGUAAACGUAUAUAAGCAGCUCUUUAGUGUAUAAGAAAUUCUUUAGUGGUCGCACCAAAAGUAUGGUGGAGGUUGGUUGAAGAUGAUCUUACGCGGC
RNAcentral lists this long non-coding RNA (215 nucleotides) under Solanum melongena (eggplant). Its description in RNAcentral is "long non-coding RNA (SMEL_LNC000125)". The record is from RNAcentral. Lineage: Eukaryota; Viridiplantae; Streptophyta; Magnoliopsida; Solanales; Solanaceae.